GUCGGUGAUCUUACCGCGGGGGUUCCACCCGUUCCCAUCCCGAACACGGAAGUUAAGCCCCGCUGGGCCGAUGGUACUGCACGCGCCAAGUGUGUGGGAGAGUAGGUCGUUGCCGGCA
RNAcentral lists this ribosomal RNA (118 nucleotides) under Terriglobia bacterium. Lineage: Bacteria; Pseudomonadati; Acidobacteriota; Terriglobia. The record is from RNAcentral. RNAcentral also lists the same sequence under 1 other name.